CCUACGGGAGGCAGCAGUGAGGAAUAUUGGUCAAUGGACGCAAGUCUGAACCAGCCAUGCCGCGUGCAGGAAGACGGCUCUAUGAGUUGUAAACUGCUUUUGUACGAGGGUAAACGCAUAUACGCGUAUCUGUCUGAAAGUAUCGUACGAAUAAGGAUCGGCUAACUCCGUGCCAGCAGCCGCGGUAAUACGGAGGAUUCAAGCGUUAUCCGGAUUUAUUGGGUUUAAAGGGUGCGUAGGCGGUCGGAUAAGUUAGAGGUGAAAGCCCGAGGCUCAACUUCGGAAUUGCCGCUGAUACUGGUCGGCUAGAGAGUAGUUGCGGUAGGCGGAAUGUAUGGUGUAGCGGUGAAAUGCUUAGAGAUCAUAAAGAACACCGAUUGCGAAGGCAGCUUACCAAGCUACUUCUGACGUUGAGGCACGAAAGCGUGGGGAGCAAACAGGAUUAGAUACCCCUGUAGUC
RNAcentral lists this ribosomal RNA (460 nucleotides) under uncultured bacterium. RNAcentral's name for it is "partial 16S ribosomal RNA". It matches the Rfam family "Bacterial small subunit ribosomal RNA", at positions 338 to 795 of the family's 1533-position model. The record is from RNAcentral.